CCCUGCCCAGCCCCACAGAAGGGACAAUUCAGGUGGCACAUGCUGGGGCCAUUUGCCAGGGAGGCUGCCUGGUGCCACAGCCCCAGCCUCUCAGCCCAGCUCUCCUUCUGCUCCCCUGCAGCUUCACCCAGGACAGCAACACUCCCCCCACCAGCAGGUAAGCUGUCCUUCCCCUGGGGCUGGGUCUAUCCAUGGACAAGCUGUGACCCACAGCCAGGGGAAGGGGCUCCUUACUGUUCUGUGAGCCUCCCAGGAAAUUGAGAGAGCUGUGGGAAGUCUGUGAUGUACACAGCAGGGUGGGAGCUGCCCCAUCACCCAGCCCUGUCCCCCCCCAGCCCUUGCUGCCUUGUGUGGUCAGGAGUGGCAUGUCCUGCCCCCAACCUCUCCCAUGCCUGAUGCUGCCCCUGCCAUGUUCCUGCCCAUGCAGAUCCCCCACGGGGCUGUCCGACCACCAGCAGUGAGAGACUCUCGGUGCCUGUCGUCAUCUGCAUCAUCCUGGGGGCCCUCCUCUGCCUGCUCCUGGCCCUCCUGGCUGGGCAGGUGCGAAGCGCCAGGGUUCGGCGCAGAGGCUCCGGGAGAGCUGGGGAGCCCUUCCCUGAGGCCGUGUACAAGGAGAUCGCUUACAGCCUGGCAUGGGAGAAGCAGGCGAGGUUCAGUCUCUCAGAUGUCCCUGUCCUGCCCGGAGGUUACCCAGCAGAUGGCUAUGAUGAUGCUGGGGAGGUUUCUGACCCUGGAGAGGAUCCUGUCCCUGGGCAGGGGGACUGGGAAGCGCCCAGGACACCAGAGGGAGGAGAUGGGCUGAGGCAUGCAGUCACAGGGGCUGGGAGAACGGGCCAAAUGUCUCAGGCUGGUGAGGACGAGGAAGGUGAUAAACAGCCCCAAGGGGCACGCCACAGACCCAACCACAGCAGCCUGCCUUGAUGCUUACAGGGGGAAGCCUGCACUCCCGGAGAAGUGCUGGGGUCCCUGGAGCAGAGGGAGACACCUUGUACCCUGUCCUGGGGACCACGGGCUAUGACGAUGUUGAAGAGGUGUCUCUGGCAUGUCCCCAUGAGGACACCGAGGAUGUGACACCAGAGUCCCCUGCACAAGUGUUCCAGAGCCCCAGGCCAGCAGAGCCCAGCCCUGCUGAGCAGCUGGGUGCAGCCGGGAGGAAGGAGAGCUCAGUGCCCCUGGGAGAGCCGUGAGCAGCAGGGAAUGGUCUGGUCUUCCUUUUCCAGCAGUCAGCAGACGCACAUGAGUAUUUGCCCUCUUGGUAUUCCCCUGUUUUUAUGCUGUGUGUUGGUAUUUCCUCAUAUUAAAACCUUCUGGGGGCUUUGCCCCAGAUCCAGUCUUCCCUGGCCAUGUUUCUGGACAUCUCCCUGAGGGUGAUGGAGUGGAGAGGAGCUCAAAUAUGCAAUGGCUGGGAAGGGACACAUCUUAGAGCCAGCAGGAUAGGGGCCUGGUUUUGGGGCUGAAAGAGCCCCUGGUCUCUGGACACUAUUCCUACUGACAGACAUUUCCGUCCUGCCCUCCACAGGCAGUUUCCAGACAAAGUGGAUCUCUGGGAAGCCCCAAGAGACACUUCCUUGCAGUGCCC
Molecule: long non-coding RNA, 1579 nt
Filed under: Anas platyrhynchos platyrhynchos (common mallard)
Lineage: Eukaryota; Metazoa; Chordata; Aves; Anseriformes; Anatidae
Description: lncRNA (ENSAPLG00000016677.1)
Source: RNAcentral